RNAcentral lists this long non-coding RNA (520 nucleotides) under Salvia miltiorrhiza (redroot sage). Its description in RNAcentral is "long non-coding RNA (SMIL_LNC007369)". The record is from RNAcentral. Lineage: Eukaryota; Viridiplantae; Streptophyta; Magnoliopsida; Lamiales; Lamiaceae.
UAGGUGCGAGAAGUUCCGGUGGUUGAUCCAUGCUCCCGGAAUAAAGUAUGACAUGCAUAAUCACACCAUUAAAGCCAGCCUUUCGUAUUUCCUGUUCAGGAAUGGCUGAAUGGUAAUGAAUUAGGGUUUUUACGUACUUUUUGAAUUUUUUUAAUUACUGAACCAUUGAUUCCUAAUGUUUUCUGAGUAUUCGCAGGAGCCUCUGGACAUCAUAUUUAUGCGUUACUUUCCCCUUACAAAUUAUCGUAAGAUGGCGGAGCUAUUUUUUAACCGGGAGAUUGCAGCCGCCAAUUUCCACUUGCUCCUAGCCAAGUGUGCCCUUGAUCAGUGAUCUUCUUGGCCGGGAUGUGGUGAAGUAAUCGUGUACUUUUGUGGGAUGUGGGUUUCAUUUUGUUUUGAGUAUUGUGGGAUGUCGUGGGAGGAUUAAGCACGGUUGUGUAGUAGUUGGAUGUUUAAAUGCUAGUACAUUUCCUUUCUCAUUUAAUAUUAAAUUUGAGUUGGAGGAAAAUUAAUUUGUGUU